ACCUAGGUGGCUCAGUCGGUUGAGCAUCUGACUUUGGCUCAGGUCGUGAUCUCCUGGUUUGUGGGUUCAAGUCCUGCAAUAGGCU
Molecule: transfer RNA, 85 nt
Filed under: Felis catus (domestic cat)
Lineage: Eukaryota; Metazoa; Chordata; Mammalia; Carnivora; Felidae
Also listed under: 3 other names
Rfam family: tRNA
About the family: Transfer RNA (tRNA) molecules are approximately 80 nucleotides in length. Their secondary structure includes four short double-helical elements and three loops (D, anti-codon, and T loops).
Source: Rfam by way of RNAcentral